Molecule: long non-coding RNA, 1023 nt
Organism: Lotus japonicus
Lineage: Eukaryota; Viridiplantae; Streptophyta; Magnoliopsida; Fabales; Fabaceae
Exons: 3
Source: RefSeq, a predicted model, not a curated record
AGAAACCCUACUUGCCGUAGAGAAGCUGCAGCCGCACAACUCACCACUCUCUUGUUGUAUGCAGCUGUAGUAGGCUCGGUGCAAGAAGGGCUACGUUGUGGAUGCAGGAUCAUGGUGAGACCACAGCGGAGACCACGGCGGAGGCCGGAGAGGGAAGGCAACAAGCUGUCUCCUCCAUCUCGAUGCCAUGGAUCAUUCUCCUUCUUCCAACAAGUGUGAUUUCCUUGAUUAAUAUGAUAGGUGGUUUGGCAACCCUAUAGCAACCAACGUCUUCGGCUGCCUGAGGAAUUAAUGCCUCAACUAGCCAUGAUAUAUCGGCUGCCUGAGGAAUUAAUGCCUCAACUAGCCAUGAUAUAUGCUCGUGUGCCUUGCAUCUGUUUUGAUCUUGUCGGAUAUAAUCGCCCAGAUAUUUGCUCCAAACAACUGGGAUUUAAUUCAUUGGAUCUGUGGCGGCCUCGACAUCUUGCGAAAAAUAUGAUAUAUUCAAUGAUGAGUGGAAUCGGAGGUCGCAAUUUAUAUUGAACGAUGAUUAUAGGGUGGUUUGUUAGACAUGAUGAUGAAAAUCAUGUUGUGGAUAACAUUGAUAAUACUACCUCAGGGAACGAGCGGAGGAGAAAAGAUUAAGCAAGGGAAAGGCUGCGCUUAGUUCUUGUUCGCACACAACAACAGCUCGCAGAUAUCAUCAUUCAAGAGUAUACUAGGCAAGAUGAGAAUCCAUCUUAAACUGACACAUACCACUCCAUAGCCCUCAUACCAGACUUUUUGAUUGUGUAGAUGGUGCAUUUUUCGGUUACUGUAAUACUAUCCACAUACAUGAGAGAUGAUUUAGUAAGCACGGUACGGAAUAAAAGAACUAACUCUUGCGUCAAAAAUGUAGCAGCUGGGGAGUAUUACAUAUAAAUUAUAUUGUACAUGUGGACAUUAGUUUGUUCAGUUAGAGUGUAGUGCAGAUUAGAAAAGUUUCUGUUAGAUUAACACUUGUAUAUAUAGUUCAAUCAAUGAAAGAAUGAAUGAUUCAGAUUC